This 3014-nucleotide unclassified non-coding RNA is filed under the name Gigantopelta aegis. RNAcentral describes it as "p2R1A-PPP2R2A-interacting phosphatase regulator 1- like, transcript variant X3". The record is from RNAcentral. Lineage: Eukaryota; Metazoa; Mollusca; Gastropoda; Neomphalida; Peltospiridae.
AAAACCAGCAAAGUUAUCUGUAUUUAAAAAUGAACCCACAAUUUAAUUUUCUUUUCCAUUGAUGUCAACGGAACGAUCGGCCAAUCACAUUGUCGCUUUAAAAAUGUCAUCUGCACUUCCUGUCAUGGCCCCCAGAAAAGAGAAAAUAUUGUAUUGCGAUUGAUAAAAGAUUUGUAAAGAUGACAUUGCCAUAUAGCUCAAUUUUUCACAAUAUGCUUCAUGAUACUGUUUCUUGUAGAAAUGAAGCGUCGGGAAAAGCAACCUUUUCUUAAUGCACUUUGCUCUUUCUAUCAAAAUAGCUAGAGGCCAAGACUAAAUUGGGGAAAAGUUCAUCGAGCGAAAAACCAUGCUUCUGUGGUUGAUGUUUAAAAACUCUUUCUGUUAUUAACUCUGGUGAUUAUUUUAAAUUAAGUUCAAUCUUUCAGUUAAAUUUGUGAUUAUUUGUAAAUAUAUUUGCAGUAUUUCGUUUUAAUAAAACUACUGACAUUACGAGUGGUGUUUGUAAUACAAGAGUUGCCAGGCCUGUACUGCUUGUUUGCUGUAGCUCACAGAAUGUCUGGAAACAGAAUGGAAGUUGAUCAUGAUCAUGAGCAGCCAUCAUCAUCUGGUAUUCCACCACCAGGGACACUAAAACGGUCAAACAGUGCACCUAUGAUCAAUGCAUUGGUUGCAACAACUCACAAUGAAGCAAGUACUUCGACUUUUAGACCGGCUGAAGCAAAUCGACUGCGCAGAUUUAGCUCCAGCAAUAUGGCCUUGCACACCGCCUCUCCGACUAUUCGGGUGCCCGGUCGAGUGAGUCAAAUCAAGAAUGAAGAAAGUCAUAUUCCAGAUCGAGAAGCUGCCCAUGAAAGAGAGGUUCGAACGACUAUGCAGAUAUCCAGUUCUUGGGAUGGAUUUCAUUUGCAGGAUCAAGAACAGAUGGUAUCGGAUCACACUCACAGGCGACCAAGAUCAUUUAGUGAAACGUUACACGUCAUAACCGGUCCGAACUUUCUGUCCGGGCUGCCAUCUCCGACACGUGUGGGGAAACAAUGCUUCUCCCCGUCAAUGCAGGUGCCUGUGAAAAACAACAGCUUUACUCCCAGUCCUAGUCCAAGCCCAACAAGAAAGUCAUUUUUAAGAAGUCUCAGCCCUAUCGCAGUCAGACCAAGUCCAUUGGGCAAGAGAAAAUUGGACACAGAUAGCAGUGACCGUUUCGAAUAUCUUAGUCCUCCGAAGAAACUCAGCACUGGCCCCAGCACCCCUGACAGAGUGAUAGCCCACCCACUGGCCCACAGUGUUUCCUCGAGCAGUUUGGAUGACCACAGUCCGGAACAGACCGUGCCCCAGGGUCAGGGGUCCGUGCCCGACCUCGCACAUCGGUCAAAGUCAAACAUUUUCGGCUUCAUGCCGCUCCGGCACUCACAUGAUAUCCACAUGACCGACUCGGAAUCGUCGGAUCUUGUCGACUCCACAGACAUGAGCGAGUCGCCCGAACAAUCGUGUCACCAUGGCAACGCGGACUCUAGCGGCUUCACACCCAUAAAGCCGCCACAUUUAUGAUGGCAAACCCAACGCAAUAUUUAGGGUGGAGGAGGGGGGAUGAAUGAUGAAAAGCGGUUGAAUUAAAUAUCAUUAUGUUAUCAUAUGCUGCCCGUAAUUGUUUCCUCACCCGUUCAGUGGAAACAUUUAUGAUGGCAAAGCCCACCAAGACUUGUUUGGGAAAAGCGGUUUGAAUUGCUAAGAAAUGACAUUGUCAUCAUGGCAACAUCGUCUUGGUUUCUGUGCCUAUAAAGUGGAAACACUCACGAUGGCAAACCCCACUAAUUCUUUUGUGAUCAAAAGUGGUUUGAAUUGCUGAGAAAAGACAUCAUGAUUGUAACAUCGACUUGUUCUUUUUUUAUUCGUAAACUGGAAACACAUAUGAUUGCAAAGCCCACCAAUUCUUUUGUGAUGAAAAGCGGUUUGAAUUGCUAAGAAGAGACAUCAUGCUUGUAACAUCGACAGGGUGUUUUUUUCAUUCGUAAACUGGAAACACUUUUGAUGGCAAAGCCCACCAAUACUUUUGUGAUGAAAAGCGGUUUGAAUUACUAAAAAAAGGCAUCGUUAUGAUUGUAACAUCAACUUGGUUUCCACAUGCAUUAAAGCGGCAACACUUAAGAUGGGAAAUUUGACCAAUAUUUGUGGUGGCAGACGAAGAUUCUGGGAUACACAGUGGUUUGAAAUUACUAUCUGAUUGUAUCAUUCUCAGGCUGUGAAUUUAGCAGAAAAGUGGUUUGAAGACAUCGACAUGAACUGGAAAUACAGCAUACUGAGUAAAAUAUUUGUCUGUUUAUACGCCCGUUUUUGUCGGGUUGUAUUACGGUACGGCCUUGUUCGUCCGUCUGUCUGUACAUGCAUACGUCCGUCUGUUCAUAAACUUUUUUGUUUCCAAAGCAUAUCUUUCUUAUCAAUUCAUAUAUGAUCAGCAAAACUAGGUCAUCGUGACUUAACUUUUGACAGGCAUAUCAAGUACCUCACCGGUACACACACGGCAUACUUUUAAAACUGAGGGUCGUUAAGUGGGAAUGAAAAUUUUGGAUUUUGGGAAUUAAUUUGUUUUUGGUAAGUCUGACAUAUAGUCUUAGAGACGAAACCUGCUACAUUUUUCCAUUUGUAGCAAGGCAUUUUUUAUAUGCACCAUCCUACAGACAGAAUAGCACAUACCUCAGCUUUUGAUAUACCGGUCGUGGUGCACUUGCUGGAAUAAGAAAUAGCCCAAUGGGACCACCGACGGGGAUUGAUCCCAAAUCGACUGCUCAUUAAGUAAGCACAUCCUCCAUCCUGAGAGAGUACUAGUAUUAAUUGUGUAGCUUAAAAAAUCAACAACUUGUAGUUAAGUAACAAGACUAGCACUGAAUCUAGUUACACUCAUAAGGAAGGAAAUGUUUUAUUUAUUUCAUUUUAACUUAUUUUCAUGCUUAUAUCCAAUUACGGUUUAAGCACGCAUGUCCUGGGCACACACCUCAGUGGGUUAGUUGUUAGUUGGUUAG